GGACAUCACAACAGCUUGGAAGAAAGCUUCCUUUCGUUUUCAGUGGUCCCUUCGUAUUUAUCCUGAACAUAAAGUCAUUAUGAGGGGGUGCAUGUCUCAUCUAUUUUGUGCAUUCCUUUGUCCCUUCAAGUUAAGUGUUAUUAAAGGCCAUGAACAUCCUUACUCCUGAGUUAAGCCUCCCUGAGCACACUGAGGGCAUCCUGUGAGCCGAGCUGGCUACCUGGCUGAUGGCCAGCCAACGCAGGUGGGUGGGUCCCUGCUGCCAGGUGAGGGGGGAGCUGUUGCUCCCCAGGGGAGGCUCAUCUGAAGACCCUGUCAUUUACCUGUUGUGCAUGGUGCUUCCGGUCAAUACUGGUCAACUUCUCUAGGUCACUUGGACCUUAUCUGCUCAACUGAGACCUGUGUUUUUCUAGCUGGAGGAGUAGGAGCUGCCUGUGGCAGUGAGUUAAGAAGACAGAUUUCCAGGACCUCAUGACAAGGUGGACACAGGUACUCCCCCAGUGACUGUGACAUCAGCAAGGCCCACAUUUUCAACAGUUGCCCCUCUGUUUGGUGGGCCCCCAGGCCCCCCAGGCUGGCUGGCUCCCCGCGACUCCUACUGCCUAAAACUAUCAUCCUGCUGUACUCAGAGUGGCCAGUCUUUCACCAGCCUCGAGUGUCACCUUUCCGUGGGACAUAGGCUUGUGUUCCCCAAAGCGAGGCCCACAUCUCUGCUCUCACUGCAACCUUCCAGUCGGCUCCUGUCGUUCUGCCUGCAGAUGCCAGCUAGUAAACAGUGUUAGUUUCAUUUAGCAGUAAUUGGACUCUGUCCAACCUGAAGUAGGUGCUGGAAUCUGAGCAUUAACACCUGCCCCCGGGGAGCCACAUCCCUUCAGCCAGCAGCAGGAGUAGCGGGCAGGGCACCGUGGAGCCCAGCCGCCCAGGUCUCUCCUGGCUCUACCGCCUUCGCCUCUGGGUUGGCUUUACACAUUCGUGCAGUCGGGAGGAUGGCAAGACCUAACUCACGGGACUGGGCUGAGGCUGAAAUGAGCCAGUACAUGUGAAGUACUUGGAAUCACAGCAUGAUAAGGUCUCAGUAAAUGC
This 1083-nucleotide long non-coding RNA is filed under the name Vulpes vulpes (red fox). RNAcentral's name for it is "lncRNA (ENSVVUG00000019880.1)". The record is from RNAcentral. Lineage: Eukaryota; Metazoa; Chordata; Mammalia; Carnivora; Canidae.